RNAcentral lists this microRNA precursor (78 nucleotides) under Dipodomys ordii (Ord's kangaroo rat). RNAcentral describes it as "miRNA (ENSDORG00000029936.1)". Lineage: Eukaryota; Metazoa; Chordata; Mammalia; Rodentia; Heteromyidae. The record is from RNAcentral.
CGCCUUGCAGUCUAGGAGAGCCCCAUGCCUUUGGACAUGCUGUUCCUUCUGCCUGGGAUUUCCUUGUCCGCCUGGCGA